GCACCUGUUGAUCUACCGUUAGUCGAUGGACUUCAAGCCACCGUGGUUGCUGUGGUGCCUCUCCUUCGUAGCUGUUCCCUGUAGUGUCGAACUCCGACCGUGCGGUCUUUGUUGAUCCUCGAUGAAGCCUCUCUCUUCUCCCUUCACCAACGAAGCGCUCGCGCUGCCCUCAAUCCGCCUCGAGAAGGUCGCUAGCUUGUUCACCGCAACUCCUCACUACUACUGCUCUGCUAAUUUACCAUCGUCAGAAUCCACCAUUCCCUACUGUGACCUGCUCAACUUCCACACUUUGGACCAAACCCGCCACUUCCUCAACCCUCUCCGUGGCCACCACCCUUCUGACCUUCCUUACUCCUCCCUCUUAUUUCCUCCUCCUCUCGUGCCAUGGUUAUACCCGCCUCUUCCCUUCGUCACCUCUCUUCGUGGCCACCGCCCAUUGCAGACUUCUCCUAUUUCAGAUUGUUGCCUCUCCUCCGUCGAUUGUCGCCCCCUUCUUCCUUUCCAUGGCUACUCUCUAUCGUCGCCGAUCUUCCUCACCGACGGACUUCAAGCGAGCCGAGUGUCUGCCUCUUCUCUCAUGAUCUGUCUUGUCACAACCGAUAGCCUCCUUUUACUCCCUACAUCAGCAUCUUCUCUAACAUUGCAACUCCAUCGAUUACCGCUCUCUUCUCAAGUGCUCAUCUCUGCACCAAGCGCCUCGCCCUCGGCGCCCACCGCACCCUCCCCCCCCUUUUUUUUGCUUUAGACCUUGGCACCUCUACCUCAUCGACCGCCAAUCCCUCCUCCAUUAACGUUGUUCGCAAAUUUACAGCAUUCAACGUAGGUCUCCCACAUCUCUACUAAUAUGCUAUUGUUGGUUUUCUCCAAGCAACCUCCUCUCAGACGAAGCACUCCCCUUCUUCCUUCGGUGGCUCCUCUUUACCAUCGUCAGUCCGUUCUUCCUCACUAACAAAGCGCUCUCUAUCUCGAAAUACUCUCUGUUGACGAAGCAGUUCCUCCUCACCGGUAAACGUCCCCCCCCUUCCUUGUUGGCCGACGAUCCGGGACCUAGUUCUGCCAUUGCGAGUUUCCCUUCGACCAGUGAAUUGCGAGUACUCUCUGUUGACGAAACAGUUCCUCCUCGCCGAUAAACGUCCCUCCUUCCUCCUUGGCCGACGAUCCGGGACCUAGUUCUACCGUUGCGAGUGUUUCCCUUCGGCGAGCGAUGGGAAGAUUAUCUUUCCUCUACUACGUCCAUAAGCUUUCGUCCGUUGUCCAGAGAGGCAUAGAUCACCACCAGGUUCAUCUGGCUGAGACUGGUCCAUCGGAUGGAAACAAAGGGCAGACCUUAUUUACUUCAUGCAACAAAUGAAGAUAAUGGAGACAAUAUGUCAUAUACGAUCAAUCAGAAUCACUACUGACCAGCUUUCACCUAUUUGUGGUUACUUUUAGGAGACUGCAACUGUUCACAGAAAGCAUCAUUUAGUUAUGUUCCACUUGCACUUUCGGCCAUGUACCUGCAAAACAUUCAGUGAAAAAUCCCAUUCAACUAGAGCUUGGAAAUACAAUCCUUUCAGAAAAUUCAUAGCAUGGGUAAAAGAUUAAUGUCUUCAAAUCCAGAUUUAUAUAAA
Molecule: long non-coding RNA, 1610 nt
Organism: Musa acuminata AAA Group (dessert banana)
Lineage: Eukaryota; Viridiplantae; Streptophyta; Magnoliopsida; Zingiberales; Musaceae
Exons: 2
Source: RefSeq, a predicted model, not a curated record